RNAcentral lists this ribosomal RNA (118 nucleotides) under uncultured bacterium. Its description in RNAcentral is "partial 16S ribosomal RNA". It matches the Rfam family "Bacterial small subunit ribosomal RNA", at positions 1383 to 1500 of the family's 1533-position model. The record is from RNAcentral.
GUACACACCGCCCGUCACACCAUGAGAGUCGGGAACACCCGAAGCCCGUAGCCUAACAGCAAUGAGGGCGCGGUCGAAGGUGGGUUCGAUAAUUGGGGUGAAGUCGUAACAAGGUACC